CGAACGCUGGCGGCAGGCCUAACACAUGCAAGUCGAGCGCACCUUCGGGUGAGCGGCGGACGGGUUAGUAACGCGUGGGAACAUACCCUUCUCUACGGAAUAGCCAUUGGAAACGAUGAGUAAUACCGUAUACGCCCUUUGGGGGAAAGAUUUAUCGGAGAUGGAUUGGCCCGCGUUAGAUUAGAUAGUUGGUGGGGUAAUGGCCUACCAAGUCUACGAUCUAUAGCUGGUUUUAGAGGAUGAUCAGCAACACUGGGACUGAGACACGGCCCAGACUCCUACGGGAGGCAGCAGUGGGGAAUCUUAGACAAUGGGCGCAAGCCUGAUCUAGCCAUGCCGCGUGAGUGAUGAAGGCCUUAGGGUCGUAAAGCUCUUUCGCCAGGGAUGAUAAUGACAGUACCUGGUAAAGAAACCCCGGCUAACUCC
RNAcentral lists this ribosomal RNA (426 nucleotides) under uncultured bacterium. RNAcentral's name for it is "bacterial SSU rRNA". It matches the Rfam family "Bacterial small subunit ribosomal RNA", at positions 30 to 504 of the family's 1533-position model. The record is from RNAcentral.